CAGCAGUCUCAGCUGUAAAAAUAGAGUCCCCAGGGAAUACUGAUAGCCUUUUUCCAAUAAAGCGAAAUCUAUUUGCAAUAAUAGGUAUAUGCAAAGACCUCCUGAAAUUACAGGAGCAAACUCCUUCCGCAUCUCGACCUAAUUAAGAUCCGUUACUCAACAGUGAUCAGUCAGAUUUUACUGUAAGAAGGAAGAAAACAAGGAUCCUGCUAGAACAACAUGGAAACAGGACCUACAACAAAGAGAUUUCUCACUGGCUUCCUGGUGGUUCAUUCAAUAGGGAAUUCCUGCAGCAAGUUGGAGGGAGGGAGGAGAAGCAGCACUGAUUCCAUGAACAGAGAUUCAUGCCACUGUGUAGUCUGCAACAAAACAUUGAAGAUGGUUUCCAAUAUCCAGAUGGACAGGCUGACCAUGAGUGCAAAUCUUCUUGUCCUUAGGAAAAAAAACUUCAAAGGGUAGACAACAGCCAAAUACCGAUCAACGGCAAUGCAGGAAAGACACACACAGAGAUCCAAUAUUGGCUGGAAUGCUGACUAUAAUCACAAAGAUGUAAACAAUGGGAAACAAAUAGUGAUCCAGGUCAUGCUGUUCUUCAAUACAUGUGCUGUUCAUUUUUUCCUUUUUAAGGUAGCAAUUAUAUUAGUUCUUAGAAAGUAAACAGAGAAGUCUUG
Molecule: long non-coding RNA, 671 nt
Filed under: Homo sapiens (human)
Lineage: Eukaryota; Metazoa; Chordata; Mammalia; Primates; Hominidae
Description: HSALNT0378495
Source: RNAcentral